RNAcentral lists this long non-coding RNA (4135 nucleotides) under Pongo abelii (Sumatran orangutan). RNAcentral describes it as "lincRNA". The record is from RNAcentral. Lineage: Eukaryota; Metazoa; Chordata; Mammalia; Primates; Hominidae.
GGGUUUGCUGAUUUAUAGUUUAAGAAACUGAGGCAGCAGGAUUCAUGCUGGGCAUUCUGUGUUCUGGGUUCCAGUGUUUAAUGGCUAUACCAUCAAGGGCACGGAGCCAGUCUUGGUAGAUGUGAAUGAUGCUUGGAUCUGUCAAGAUGCUAGUAGUGAUUGGUGUAUGUCCUCACAACUCAGUUCCCCCUAAAACCAGCUACUGGAGUAUAAGUGUGAAGACUCAUGGUUUGAUAGCAAUGCUUAUCAAAAAGGGGGCAAGAUGGCCUGUAAUCCCAGCACUUCGGGAGGCCGAGGUGGGCAGAUCACGAGGUCAGGAGAUCGAGACCAUCCUGGCUAACAUGGUGAAACCCUGCCUCUACUAAAAAUACAAAAAUUAGCCAGGCAUGGUGGCGGGGCCCCUGUAGUCCCAGCUACUGGGGAGGCUGAGGCAGGAGAAUGGCGUGAACCCGGGAGGCGGAGCUUGCAGUGAGCCGAGAUCGCGCCACCGCAUUCCAGCCUGGGUGACAGAGCAAGACUCCACCUCUAAAAUAAAAUAAAAAACAAAAAGGGGGCAAGAUGUGCUCCCUGUGGGUCAAGAGUGUCCCAGACAGCUUUCGGGAAGGGUGACACGUGUGUUGCUCUAUUUGGCCCUGGUCAGCCUCAUCUGGAGUGUUGUAUUCAGUACUAAGCAUUACAAUUUCAGGUGGUCAUAGAUUCACUCUGUAGUUUUCUGUAAAGCACACAGGAGCUCUUUGGCCAAGUUUCAGCUCCACCAAAGUCAGCGAUGAGACCGUGGACAAAGUGCCUCAUGUCCCUGAGCCCAUUUCUUCAUUCGUAGAAGAAUCCAGUAGUUGUUCAGGAUGGUUUUGAAGACCCAGUCACAUUGGAUGUGAUCUGUAUAAAAGUGCUUUAUGUGGUGGUCAUGUUUUAUUUGUUUCAUAUUUCAGAAGACGGGAAGGUGGGUCUCACAACCAUGGCUGGUUUGGAGGCAUGUACAAGAACCUGGGCUCUUCACUCAGGAAAAGAGAAAUCUAGGGAAACAUGGUAGCUGCCUCUAGUAGAACUGCAAUAUGAAACAGGUCUUCAGAGGCUUCCAGGGUGAGGGGAAGCCAUGCAGGGCUCCUCCCCACCUCCCCACUUCUGCUCAUUGCUCUGCGCUUGUCCAGAGACAAGAGAUGUCGACUAAAGUCUAUGCAGGGAAGCUACUUACACCCUCCUAGGUCCAAAAGCUGCCUGCUGCCUCUGGAGUGUUAGAGCAGAAAGUGGGCAGGCAUGGGCAGGGCCAUUGCUGCGGGAAGUUAAGAGGCACCAGAGGACAGUUCUUCCAACUUAAGACGGUUUUUGUGAAGUGAAAGCAGACUGCAGGCCUCCAGCACUGGCGCAGACUCUGACUGGUGCAGGCCUCUAACACUGGCAUGGAUUUAGCAGAUAAGAAAGAUGGGUCUUCUUACAAAUACUGGUCGCUAGUGAGUUGGGCCUUGAGAGACAGAGAAAACAGGUAUCUGCCUAAGGUGUGUCUCUGGUUAACUAUAUUGGCCCUUGAGGUAAUCUACAGUUAAAGGAGUUUUAGUUCCUCUAACAUUUUAAGAAAUUAUUCCCAUGUUUGAGUGCCACAUUUAUAGUACCAAAUUUUGGGGCCAGGGUGGGAAGAUUGCCCUGAGCAAAGCUGUCCAUUUUCGCAUCAUCCAGUUGGUUUUCAUGGAGCGGCCCACCUGCUCCCCACCUCAGGAGAUACUGGAGGACUCUAGCCCUGCAGUGGCUGUGGUCAGGCCAAGGGUAGGCAGGCUUCCUUCCUAGGCUUCAGUUCAUUCCCCCAUCUUGCUGCCAAGGUACCUUUAGAUGUUUUGGUCCCCUAAAGCAUUUAAACAGACUGACGUGUAAAAUGCUGUCUGAACAAAGUCUCCCAUGAACCCACAGCACAGUGUGUACCUGAACCUCCCGAGAGAAAUAGUAAAAUCACCACAUCAUCAAGUUGCAGCUCAGGGACUACGUAGGUUUAGUGGUGAUGUUUGCAGGAAAAGGUUUCAGAGAAAUUUGAAAAUUGGCAGGUGCACUUUCUUGACCUUUCCAAAAAUAGUCUGAGUCACUUUCACUUUCAGCCUUCAAACUAUGUUGAAUGAAACCUUUGUGCAGUUUACAGAAAGUGAAGAACUGUUUGGCAAGAGAGAGAAGUUCGAGCUCCUAAUAGCCUCGGCUGCAUUGAGUAACAUUUCUUUUGAGUUGUCUAUUAACACUUUCCUGAAACAUGCUUUUUAUGAUGCCUAGAACUUGUAUAAGAGUGACUGUAAUUUGAGUUCUUUAAAAAUGUAAAUACAAGAAAUGUGUCACAUGCCAUAAGAGCUAGGAAAUGAUAGCUCACAUUCAUCUUAGUGGAAGGAAACUCUAAUUAUUGGAAGAUUUGAUUGGAAUAUUUGUUCUUAAUACCUACGGGUGGCUCUGUCGUAUGCUUGCCUAACACCAGUAUUGGCAUGCAAAUAACACUGAAAAGCUCCUUUCUUUUCCUCUGGUCUUUGUGGGAAGGCAUGGUAUGAGUCGAGAUUGCUAAACCACUCUUCUGAGAGGACUCAGAGAGAGUGUUUAUCCUAGACUAUCCAUGGCCCUGGUACUUCUGAGUUCAGUUAUGGUGUGAUCUCAUUAGUCCAGGCUCAGAAUGGCUCGGUAACCUCAAAACUCCAAGCCCUCGGUGCUUGCUUUGCUUCCCUAGACUUGCAGCUUAUGUACGCCCACAUGUGCUUCAUGUGUAUUAAAAAUGCUUGCAUGUGUAGAUAGGAAGAUAUAUGUUGACUGUCCUGAAAAACUUGACAUACCUAACAUUUAAAAUUGUUUUGAGUUUCCCCUGGGGAUAAACUAGUCUUCAAAUUUAAACAUGAUGAGCAGCGUAGGGGUUAUGGUACCAGAGAAAAGAGCCGAAUCUCGGCCCUGGCCCAGCCCUACCUCUCAUGCUCUGUCACCUGCAGCAGAGGUGGAGUGGGGGCCAUGUCUGUGAGCGGGACCUCAUCUUGUCUAUUCCUCAGACCCACCCAAGGGCAGGGAUUCCCAAAACUGCUGGUACCUGUAAGAGGUAUUGUAUUCUUGGACUCCAUUCCAUAGCCUCUCAUCAGGAUUCUGGGUUUGGAACUCUAGAAUCAAUGUUGAGGAAAAAGACAACUUGGUGAUUUUAUUUUUCUAGAUAUAAUUCACAUACCAUAAAAGCCACUCUUUAAAUUGUACAAUUCAGUGGUUUUUUAGUAUAUUCAGAGUUGUAUAACCAUGACCACUAGCUAAUUCAGAAUAUUUUCAUUGCCUCCCAACAAGCCUAGUACUCAUGAGUAGUCAGUCACUCCCUUGCCCAUUCCCUCCACCCCCAAGCCCCUGGCAACCACUAAUCUACUUUCUGUCUCUAUGGAUUUGCCUAUUUGAGACAUUCAUAUGAAUGGAGUUACAUAAUAUGUAGACUUUUGUAUCUGUUUUUUUUCAUUUAGCAUAAAAAUUUUCAAGAUUUGUCCACAGUGUAGUGUGUCUCAGUACUUCUUUCCUUUUUAUCACUGAAAAUAUUUCAUUGUAUGUAUAUGUCACAUUUUGUUAUCUACUCAUCAAUUGAUGAAUAUUUGUAUUGUUUCCACUUUGGCUGUUACAAAUAAUGCUGUUAUGAACAUGUGUGUACAAGUAUUUGUGUGGGUAUAUGUUAUUUCUCUUGGGCAUACCUACAAAUGGAAUUACUGGAUCAUAUGACAACUUUAUGUUUAACUUUUUGAAAAACUACAAAACUAACGAGUUGUACCAUUUUCUAAUCCCACCAGCAAUGAAUAGGGUUCUAAUUUUUCCACAUCUUCAUCAACAUUUGUUAUUGAUCUUUUUGAUUAUAACCAAUUUAGUAAGUGUGAACUGGUAUCUUAUUGUGAUUGUGAUUUUGAUUUGCAGUUCCCUAAUGAUGUUGAACAGAUGUUCAUAUGCUUGUUGGCCAUUUAUAUAGUCUUUAGAGAUAUAUCUAUUUUGCCCAUUUCUAACUGAGCAAAACAGACAAAAAUUGAGUUGUAAAUGUUCUUUAUGUAUACUGUAUACAAGCCCCUUAACAGAUAUAUGAUUUGCAAAUCUUUUCUAUUCUGUAGGUUGUUUCUCCAUGUUCUCGUUGGUAUGCUUGGAAGCAUAAAAGUUUUUAUUCUGGUGGAGUCCA